Molecule: non-coding RNA, 233 nt
Organism: Lupinus albus (white lupine)
Lineage: Eukaryota; Viridiplantae; Streptophyta; Magnoliopsida; Fabales; Fabaceae
Source: the annotation of a GenBank genome assembly
UAUGUCAUGAAGAUCACAAGUCAAAUCCAAGAUCAUUUGCCAGUUGAAGUAUGCCACGCAUUUGAAGGUAAGGAUUUUCUAACAGUUUCUCAUUGUUGCUCUGUACCUGCUGAGCUUUAACAACAACAUUCUGAAGCAUGUGUUGAUAUUUCUCUGGCUUCUCAGUCAUCAUUCGCUGAAAAGAAAAGCAGAAGAAAAAUAUGCCACCCUUGAAUCUGUGUCAUCCAAAAGUU